This 67-nucleotide transfer RNA is filed under the name Exechonella vieirai. RNAcentral describes it as "tRNA-Pro". The record is from RNAcentral. Lineage: Eukaryota; Metazoa; Bryozoa; Gymnolaemata; Cheilostomatida; Exechonellidae.
CAAAAAAUAGUUUACCCAAAACAAUAUCCCUGGAAGAUAUAAACGUAGAACAACACUACUUUUUUGA